RNAcentral lists this ribosomal RNA (253 nucleotides) under Eubacterium ventriosum. RNAcentral's name for it is "partial 16S ribosomal RNA". It matches the Rfam family "Bacterial small subunit ribosomal RNA", at positions 524 to 776 of the family's 1533-position model. Lineage: Bacteria; Bacillati; Bacillota; Clostridia; Eubacteriales; Eubacteriaceae. The record is from RNAcentral.
UACGUAUGGGGCAAGCGUUAUCCGGAUUUACUGGGUGUAAAGGGAGCGUAGGCGGUAUGGCAAGUCAGAAGUGAAAGCCUGGGGCUCAACCCCGGAAUUGCUUUUGAAACUGUCAAACUAGAGUGUCGGAGGGGUAAGCGGAAUUCCUAGUGUAGCGGUGAAAUGCGUAGAUAUUAGGAGGAACACCGGUGGCGAAGGCGGCUUACUGGACGAUCACUGACGCUGAGGCUCGAAAGCGUGGGGAGCAAACAGG